This 616-nucleotide long non-coding RNA is filed under the name Sitophilus oryzae (rice weevil). RNAcentral's name for it is "uncharacterized LOC115878879". The record is from RNAcentral. Lineage: Eukaryota; Metazoa; Arthropoda; Insecta; Coleoptera; Curculionidae.
GAACUGACUGGUGAGGCUUAAUCGUCGACCAAUGGGUCGAAUCUGCAUAAGGAAGGCAACCAGCACACACUCGCAGGCGGAUCGUGAAAACAUUUUUUUGUUUUUUCUCUUGGUCUGCCCCGCGUCGAAUUUUGAAGGCAGAAAAUGUCGGGAGGAGGCGAGCAUAACCAGGCCUAACUCAAACCUGUUAAAAGACAACCCGGUUUCGCAGCGCGAUUUUAAAAAACAAAAAUGAAGAAGUCAGAAAUUCUAUCUACAUGCUGCAUAUGAUCAGUCCCAAAAAAUUUCGGAUUGUUCCAGGCACCGUCGAAUACCUGGAAAACGUGUUUAUUGUCAACUCUACAGGAUCGACCGAAGUCCAUGGAGUUGGGGGGCAUUCGAUGUGCCCCAUAGCAGUGAGACGCCACUGUUUUUUUCGCCGAUAAUAUAAUUAUUAUGGUGGGACUGAAAAUGAACUUAAGCAAGAUGUGAUGGUGAUACAGUAUGGCUUGGAGAACUUCAAAAGUCGGUUCGCGUCGUGGUUCCAAAGCAGUAACUUUAGGUUCCCUACAUUUACAAAAUGUUGCAUUAAGUACUCAUUUUUUAAUUUGCAAUUUUUACAUUCAUUUUUACUUUU